Molecule: ribosomal RNA, 468 nt
Filed under: uncultured bacterium
Lineage: Bacteria
Description: partial 16S ribosomal RNA
Rfam family: Bacterial small subunit ribosomal RNA
Source: RNAcentral
GACGAACGCUGGCGGCGUGCUUAACACAUGCAAGUCGAACGGAAAGGCCCUGCUUUUGUGGGGUGCUCGAGUGGCGAACGGGUGAGUAACACGUGAGUAACCUGCCCUUGACUUUGGGAUAACUUCAGGAAACUGGGGCUAAUACCGGAUAGGAGCUCCUGCUGCAUGGUGUGGGUUGGAAAGUUUCGGCGGUUGGGGAUGGACUCGCGGCGUAUCAGCUUGUUGGUGGGGUAGUGGCUUACCAAGGCUUUGACGGGUAGCCGGCCUGAGAGGGUGACCGGCCACAUUGGGACUGAGAUACGGCCCAGACUCCUACGGGAGGCAGCAGUGGGGAAUAUUGCACAAUGGGCGGAAGCCUGAUGCAGCAACGCCGCAUGCGGGAUGACGGCCUUCGGGUUGUAAACCGCUUUCGCCUGUGACGAAGCGUUAGUGACGGUAAUGGGUAAAGAAGCACCGGCUAACUACGUG